CCUACGGGAGGCAGCAGUGGGGAAUAUUGCGCAAUGGGCGAAAGCCUGACGCAGCGACGCCGCGUGAGGGAUGAAGGUCUUCGGAUCGUAAACCUCUGUCAGCAGGGAAGAACGGUCACUGUGCUAAUCAGCAGUGAAUUGACGGUACCUGCAAAGGACGCACCGGCCAACUCCGUGCCAGCAGCCGCGGGAAUACGGAGGGUGCGGGCGUUGAUCGGAAUUACUGGGGGUAAAGGGUUAGUAGGCGGUAUGUCAAGUCAGGGGGGAAAUCCCCGCGCUCAACGUGGGAACUGACUUUGAAACUGGCAAACUGGAGUGUGUGAGAGGAUAGUGGAAUGCCAGGUGUAGGAGUGAAAUCCGUAGAUAUCGGGAGGAACAUCAGUGGCGAAGGCGACUAUCUGGCACAUAACUGACGCUGAGGAGCGAAAGCGUGGGUAGCAAACAGGAUUAGAUACCCCUGUAGUC
Molecule: ribosomal RNA, 465 nt
Filed under: uncultured bacterium
Lineage: Bacteria
Description: partial 16S ribosomal RNA
Rfam family: Bacterial small subunit ribosomal RNA
Source: RNAcentral